CACGUUUUAACAUUAAUGAAAUAUUCGAAUUCCACAACGACCUCGCGUGUUUCAUCGUAUAUUUCAGUAUUUGUAACUGCAUAUUAUAUAGCAUUUUGCAGAGUAUUUCAUUGUGUGCAUGUUCCCAUCAAUAACUUCUUAUCCAUUAAACAUAUUUGAAGUAUGAUUUUGGAAAAUAAAAUUAUCGUAUUAAAAAUAAGAAAUAUCUACUGAAUCCACUACUAUUAAAAUCAAGACACGGGUUACAGGAGUAUGAUACAAUAUAAGAACGGACAAUAUAGCUGUUAACACACCGUCGAUGUGACGAAGAGAUUAAAAACAAUAAAAAAAACAUACAAAUCGCCUUUGCCCCGAUUUUCGUGACGACAGCGGGCGGUGACCUCAACUUCAUUCUGACAAAUAAUGUAACAUAGGAGGUAGAUACAAGUUAUUAAAAGAUGUUUACGCCUGGACCGUUAAGUCUGCAAUAUGGAACGUAUAAAAUCACGACGGUGAUGAUGAAUUUACUAAUCUGCGAAUGGACUUCAUCAGUCGAUAAACUCACUCGAGCCAAUCAUUAUUAUAAUGUAUACAUAG
Molecule: long non-coding RNA, 576 nt
Organism: Aphis gossypii (cotton aphid)
Lineage: Eukaryota; Metazoa; Arthropoda; Insecta; Hemiptera; Aphididae
Exons: 5
Source: RefSeq, a predicted model, not a curated record